This 622-nucleotide ribosomal RNA is filed under the name uncultured bacterium. RNAcentral describes it as "bacterial SSU rRNA". It matches the Rfam family "Bacterial small subunit ribosomal RNA", at positions 338 to 956 of the family's 1533-position model. The record is from RNAcentral.
CCUACGGGAGGCAGCAGUGGGGAAUUUUGGACAAUGGGCGAAAGCCUGAUCCAGCAAUGCCGCGUGUGGGAAGAAGGCCUUCGGGUUGUAAACCACUUUUGUACGGAACGAAACGGCUCGCUUUAAUACAGUGGGCUAAUGACGGUACCGUAAGAAUAAGCACCGGCUAACUACGUGCCAGCAGCCGCGGUAAUACGUAGGGUGCGAGCGUUAAUCGGAAUUACUGGGCGUAAAGCGUGCGCAGGCGGUUAUAUAAGACAGUUGUGAAAUCCCCGGGCUCAACCUGGGAAUUGCAUCUGUGACUGUAUAGCUAGAGUACGGUAGAGGGGGAUGGAAUUCCGCGUGUAGCAGUGAAAUGCGUAGAUAUGCGGAGGAACACCGAUGGCGAAGGCAAUCCCCUGGACCUGUACUGACGCUCAUGCACGAAAGCGUGGGGAGCAAACAGGAUUAGAUACCCUGGUAGUCCACGCCCUAAACGAUGUCAACUGGUUGUUGGGUGCAUUAGUACUCAGUAACGAAGCUAACGCGUGAAGUUGACCGCCUGGGGAGUACGGCCGCAAGGUUGAAACGUCAAAUGAAUUGACGGCUGGAGACGUGACGACGACGACGACGAGGGAGGAGG